AGCUGCAUGGCAUAGUGGUUUGAGUGUUGGACUAUGACUCUGGAGACCAGGAGUCAAAUCCCGGUUUGGGUA
RNAcentral lists this transfer RNA (72 nucleotides) under Phrynosoma platyrhinos (Desert horned lizard). RNAcentral describes it as "tRNA-OTHER". Lineage: Eukaryota; Metazoa; Chordata; Lepidosauria; Squamata; Phrynosomatidae. The record is from RNAcentral.